Molecule: ribosomal RNA, 405 nt
Filed under: uncultured bacterium
Lineage: Bacteria
Description: partial 16S ribosomal RNA
Rfam family: Bacterial small subunit ribosomal RNA
Source: RNAcentral
AUUGAACGCUAGCGGCAUGCUUUACACAUGCAAGUCGAACGAGUGGCGGACGUGUGUGUAAUGUAUGGGAACGUGCCCAGUAGCGGGGGAUAACUACUCGAAAGAGUGGCUAAUACCGCAUACUAUUGGAGCGGCCCAUAGGGGAUUAGCUAGUUGGUGGGGUAAAGGCUCCCCAAGGCCACGAUCCGUAGCUGGUUUGAGAGGACGACCAGCUGCACUGGAACUGAGACACGGCCCAGACGCCUACGGGACGCAGCAGUGGGAAAUUGUGGACAAUGGGCGAAAGCCUGAUCCAGCCAUGCCGCGUGUAUGAGAAGGCUUUCGGGGUGUAAAGUACUUUUGGCGGAGAAGCGUGACCCGCAGAAUAAGCACCGGCUAACUACGUGCCAGCCGCCGCGGUAAUUC